Gambusia affinis (western mosquitofish) is the source of this 1027-nucleotide long non-coding RNA. RefSeq lists it as uncharacterized. Lineage: Eukaryota; Metazoa; Chordata; Actinopteri; Cyprinodontiformes; Poeciliidae. The record is from RefSeq and is a predicted model, not a curated record. The transcript has 2 exons.
ACAAGUAAAGCCACUCACUAUCUGUAUUUUCUGAAAGUAUUUCUAUCUUAUGUUUCUGGAGAUCUUUCUGUAUAUUUUACAUUGGCUUGUAAAAAAACAUUUAUUCACAUUUUUGACUUUAUAGCUGUGGAGAACGGUCAGCAUCCAGAAGAAAUCAUAUUUCUUCCAUAAGUAUGAAAAAACCAAAACAGGUAAACACCAAGAAGUGAGUUGAAUGUUGAACAAAGCAAACAUAUAGAAAAUAAUAAUUGUUCUUGCAAAUAAAUAAUUAUGUGCAAGAACAAAGAAUAAAUAAAGAAUAAGGAAAAACACUGGAUCUUAUUUAUUUCCCUCUUCUCCCUUGGUCCUUCCUUUGCCACAGCAUUAACUCACCAUGAAAUGUUUUCUAAAAACACAGAAUAUAUUUUAUUUAACUAUUUGAGUUAGUGUUUAUGUAUUGCCAACUGUUGCUCCAUUAAUAUCUGUUAUGUAAGUAGAUCUAGACAUUGUGAGUUACUGAUUUUUAUCCUAUUUUUCCAGUUUCUCAGUGUUGUUUUCUUGUUUCCUUGGUGAUAGUCAGAGCCACAAGCAGUGGAGUUUGGGUCUGAUGGAGUUCAUCUUCAGUUCAUCCAGAUUACCAAGUGAGCAGACAGAGGGGGAUUGUGGGAUGUUGUGGUUCUUAACGUGCAUCCUGUGAUUCAUCAGUAGAUUCUCCACUGACACAAGAAAUGUGUUGCUGACAUUUUACUGAUGUUCAACAGAUUUCUUAUGAAUACAGUUUUAAAACUGAGGAACAUUAACACUAACUGGUUCAAAUGCCUGUGAUGGACUGGUGACCAGUUCAUGGUGGCUCCGCCUCUCACCUGUUGGUGGUACCAGCACCUUCCCGACCUGUUACUGUACAAAUAAACUGGACUUGGAUGGAUGGUUCAAAUACUGUUAAAUAAAAUAGUUUUGACAUUUUCUGGACAUAUUUGUCUUGAAAAGUGUUGCCAUUAUUUUGGGUUCUGUAAAUAAUAAUAAACUAAACUUUUUAUUUAAACAAUAA